UUAUAAGUCAAUUGAGGCUGAAGAUUGGGAAGCAGCUACCAUUGGAGAAGAGAUGAGUAAAAUGGAGUCUCUUCUUCUCGAUAAAAAUAGGAAAAUGGAACAUGAACUCACACAGCUGAAGGUCAAACUUUCCGAGAAAACAUCUUGGCUGGAAACAGCUGAAGGCAAAAUAGUAUAACUCACGGAAAAGGUUCAUGAACAACAGAAGCUGAUAUAGAAAUUAGAAGAUGAUAUAUUGAAGGGUUAUAGUUCCAAAGAAAGGAAUGGGACUCUUUUUGAUGAUUGGGAUCUUUCUGAGAGUGGAGGGAAUGAAAUUUCCGAGAGCGCACAUCACAAACAAGUUUCCUCAGAUCAAGACCAAAGCUCAAUGCUGAAGGUGAUAUGCAAUCAGCGUGAUCGGUUUAGGGCACGAUUGCGGGAAACUGAGGAAGAAAUAAGGCAAUUAAAGGGGAAGAUAGGGAUGCUAACCACAGAACUGGAGAAAACAAAAGCUGAUAAUAUUAAACUU
Long non-coding RNA from Hibiscus syriacus, 508 nucleotides. RefSeq lists it as uncharacterized. NCBI's taxonomy places the organism in Eukaryota, Viridiplantae, Streptophyta, Magnoliopsida, Malvales, Malvaceae. The transcript is spliced from 5 exons. The record is from RefSeq and is a predicted model, not a curated record.